CCUACGGGAGGCACCAGUAGGGAAUCUUCGGCAAUGGACGAAAGUCUGACCGAGCAACGCCGCGUGAGUGAAGAAGGUUUUCGGAUCGUAAAACUCUGUUGUUAGAGAAGAACAAGUAGGAGAGUAACUGCUCUUACCUUGACGGUAUCUAACCAGACAGCCACGGCUAACUACGUGCCAGCAGCCGCGGUAAUACGUAGGUGGCAAGCGUUGUCCGGAUUUAUUGGGCGUAAAGCGAGCGCAGGCGGUCUUUUAAGUCUGAUGUGAAAGCCCUCGGCUCAACCGAGGAAGGUCAUUGGAAACUGGAGGACUUGAGUGCAGGAGAGGAGAGUGGAGUUCCAUGUGUAGCGGUGAAAUGCGUAGAUAUAUGGAGGAACACCAGUGGCGAAGGCGACUCUCUGGUCUGUAACUGACGCUGAGGCUCGAAAGCGUGGGAAGCAAGCAGGAUUAGAUACCCCAGUAGUC
This 465-nucleotide ribosomal RNA is filed under the name uncultured bacterium. RNAcentral describes it as "bacterial SSU rRNA". It matches the Rfam family "Bacterial small subunit ribosomal RNA", at positions 338 to 795 of the family's 1533-position model. The record is from RNAcentral.